Molecule: long non-coding RNA, 339 nt
Organism: Xenopus laevis (African clawed frog)
Lineage: Eukaryota; Metazoa; Chordata; Amphibia; Anura; Pipidae
Exons: 3
Source: RefSeq, a predicted model, not a curated record
UCACAGUGCAGCUUACUGCCAAUGGACAAGAUGCUCUCGGAGCUAACGCUACGACUGCCGGCAGUGUUACUAUGUUCUUACUGUAGCCUAAUGGCCGAGGUGGUCUUUGUAGAUUUUACGUGCCAACCAAGCUUUUGUCUCUUCAACUAGCGACUGCAUGGCAGUAACCUUUACAUUCAAGAUAAAGAUGGAUAUACUCCGUUGGAUCUGGUAAUGAAAGACAGACCUCCCCACAUUGUUUUCAAAACUAGUGAUGGUACUUUGCAAAUUUCAUUCAGUCUUCCUGUCUCAGAAAGGACAAGUUUACACAUGCGGACAUGGACAAGGAGGUCGUCUUGG